Molecule: transfer RNA, 28 nt
Filed under: Sphaerocarpos texanus
Lineage: Eukaryota; Viridiplantae; Streptophyta; Marchantiopsida; Sphaerocarpales; Sphaerocarpaceae
Also listed under: 1 other name
Description: partial tRNA-His
Source: RNAcentral
UGCCUUAAUCCACUUGGCUACGUCCGCC